UGGGGAAUAUUGCACAAUGGGCGCAAGCCUGAUGCAGCCAUGCCGCGUGUGUGAAGAAGGCCUUCGGGUUGUAAAGCACUUUCAGCGGGGAGGAAGGCGUUAAGGUUAAUAACCUUGGCGAUUGACGUUACCCGCAGAAGAAGCACCGGCUAACUCCGUGCCAGCAGCCUCGGUAAUACGGAGGGUGCAAGCGUUAAUCGGAAUUACUGGGCGUAAAGCGCACGCAGGCGGUCUGUCAAGUCGGAUGUGAAAUCCCCGGGCUCAACCUGGGAACUGCAUUCGAAACUGGCAGGCUAGAGUCUUGUAGAGGGGGGUAGAAUUCCAGGUGUAGCGGUGAAAUGCGUAGAGAUCUGGAGGAAUACCGGUGGCGAAGGCGGCCCCCUGGACAAAGACUGACGCUCAGGUGCGAAAGCGUGGGGAGCAAACAGG
Molecule: ribosomal RNA, 429 nt
Filed under: Chloroflexota bacterium
Lineage: Bacteria; Bacillati; Chloroflexota
Description: Chloroflexi bacterium partial 16S ribosomal RNA
Rfam family: Bacterial small subunit ribosomal RNA
Source: RNAcentral